RNAcentral lists this ribosomal RNA (666 nucleotides) under uncultured bacterium. RNAcentral describes it as "bacterial SSU rRNA". It matches the Rfam family "Bacterial small subunit ribosomal RNA", at positions 65 to 740 of the family's 1533-position model. The record is from RNAcentral.
AGCGAGAACGGGACUUCAGGUCCCGGGGACACGCGGCUGAACGGGUUGCGUAACACGGUGAUGCAACCUGCCCCGAAGACCGGGACAAGCCGGGGUAAACCUGGUCUAAUACCGUGAUGUCCUCACCGAAUCGCAUGGUGUGGUGAGGAAAUGGAUUCCGCUUCGGGAUGGGCUCGCGGUCUAUCAGCUUGUUGGUGAGGUAAUGGCCCACCAAGGCGACGACGGAUAGCUGGUCUGAGAGGACGAUCAGCCACACUGGGACUGAGACACGGUCCAGACUCAUACGGGAGGCAGCAGUAGGGAAUCUUGCGCAAUGAGGGAAACCUUGACGCAGCGACGCCGCGUGCGGGAUGAAGGCCUUCGGGUUGUAAACCGCUUUCAGCAGGGACGAAAUUGACGGUACCAGAGGAAUAAGCACCGGCUAACUCCGUGCCAGCAGCCGCGGUAAUACGGAGGGUGCAAGCGUUAUCCGGAUUCACUGGGUUUAAAGGGUGCGUAGGUGGGCAGGUAAGUCCGUGGUGAAAUCCCUGAGCUUAACUCGGGAACUGCCAUGGAUACUAUUUGUCUUGAAUAUUGUGGAGGUAAGCGGAAUAUGUCAUGUAGCGGUGAAAUGCUUAGAUUGACCAUAGAAGCACCAAUUGCGAAGGCGCUUUACUACACAGUUUU